Long non-coding RNA from Symphalangus syndactylus (siamang), 806 nucleotides. RefSeq lists it as uncharacterized. The record is from RefSeq and is a predicted model, not a curated record. Lineage: Eukaryota; Metazoa; Chordata; Mammalia; Primates; Hylobatidae.
CUCACUCAUGCAGACAGGCGCUCUCGCCUACGGCUCUGAGGCUUAGCCGGCUUUGCCUUGGUGAAGGACAAGGGUCUGGCGACCCAGAUUCUCUCGCGGGUGGCUGGGGAAAGAGGGGCGGUGGCGUGCUGGGCUGGCUGGAGGGCCCCAGGCCCUGGCGCGAGUCCUGCAAGGAUGCUGCCUCCAAGUGUGCUUGUGGGUGGCGAAUCCCAGGGCCUCCCGGAAGUGUCCACUCCUCGGGAGGCCUGGCUGCUCAGCGGCGCCCCUCUGUGGCGAGACUCGCCCAGGCCCAUGUCCGGCCCGCCUCGCGCCAGCCCGGCUCCCCUGGGCAGCCUCAGGACAGAGAACCCUGAUUUUCAGAGGGAGGCUGCGGGUGUGGGGCCUCUAGGCACUUGCAGGAUGGAGCUACCCCACACCCAGGGCUCACCCUCAGCCCUCCCCAGGCGUUCCGGAGGCGGCGGAAAGUCCAGAGGGUCUCCGAAGCCGGUAGACGGGGCCAUGAAGAAGACGUCGGGCUUCAGGAGGGGGAAGGGCGAGCUGCCCAAGGUGGGCGCGGGCGCCGGGAGUGAGUGCGGCCGAUGCCUCCUCCCAGCCCAGGCGCCACGACCCGGACAAGGGGAUCGACAGGCCCCACAGAGCUGUCGGCGAGGACCGGACAGAGACGAUGCGGCGGAUCCUUUCUCUGCCGAAGAGUGGCGUGGAUGACAGAGACGAGAAGAGCAGGGUCUUUUUGGAGUUCCUGAGCUCAGUGCCCCAGAAGGAUUUCAUACUGCACAAGAAAAAGCCUUAAGAAAGACAGAAUUGCU